AGUUUGAAGCGAGCGCUGAACCGUAAUCGUUUUGCCCGUGUGCACCGACAGAGUCGGUUAAUUUGUUUAUCCUCUUCUUUCGCAUUGCAGGCGCUUGUUUCCAUGCACUGAACGCAAGUGGAGCGUACACGAGCUGCGAGAGUCGUUGCGGUCUGCCAUGCGAAGAAAUCGUGUACGACGUGAAGCUUGCAGGCAUCACCAAAGAAGAUGGUUUCAAGCACGACCGAAAGAACAGGGUCGGCCUCGAAGUCAAGUUCAGCUCUGACGUGAUGCAAGUGGUCCAGUACGUUCCAGUGAUCACCCGGGUGGAGGUCCUCGGCUACCUAAGCGGUUAUCUCGGCAUCUGGCUGGGACUGUCACUUUCCACCUUGGCUAUCCAGGCCCAGAACCGCUUUUGUCCCUCUCACCGGCGCUCACUGACGGAACGACAGACGUCAUUUCCUGGACAUGAUAACCCUGGUUUAAGAUUCUGCUUAACCUAUCUCGGUAGGAGACUACCGCUGCAAUUCAGGCGCAGGAGAGCUGUGGUGGCAGCAUUCAAGCAAGCUCCGCAUCUAUUUUAGGCAAGUUUGUACCACUAGUUUUCUGCUGCUCUUGAUUGUGACUGUUCUCCUAAAGACAAUAUCUCACCAGUAGGACCUAACCCAUGAUUUUUACAUUACAAAUGCAGAGCUCCAUUAAAAUGGGAUAUUCAA
RNAcentral lists this long non-coding RNA (695 nucleotides) under Dermacentor andersoni. Its description in RNAcentral is "uncharacterized LOC126547099". Lineage: Eukaryota; Metazoa; Arthropoda; Arachnida; Ixodida; Ixodidae. The record is from RNAcentral.